RNAcentral lists this long non-coding RNA (522 nucleotides) under Ananas comosus (pineapple). RNAcentral's name for it is "long non-coding RNA (ACOM_LNC041598)". Lineage: Eukaryota; Viridiplantae; Streptophyta; Magnoliopsida; Poales; Bromeliaceae. The record is from RNAcentral.
UUACAUGUUUAGACGAUUUUUGGUGCAUUGAAUUAUUGUUUAUUUAAAAAUCUUUUUGAGGAAAGGUAUUUGGGGAUUCAAAGUUUUUUUGAGAAAGGAGAUGAUUGAGAAUCAUUAUUUUGAGAAGAGAAAUUUCUUUAAUGUCGCGUAAACGGUAUUUAACUUCACAAACAUAUUAAGUUAAAUUCAUAUUAAUUAUCGUCUUUAUUCCACUAUUUAUUAUUUUGACGAUAAUUUAUUAUAUGAUUUCUUAUUGCAUAAAUUCAUCAAAAUUUUGAAAUCAAAUUUGAUUUUUUGAUGAUUAAUUCAUCUUGGUUGUGAGUGUUGGAUAUGAUGAUUGGAUAUUCUCUAAUUGACUAAAAUUCGUCAAAAUUAUUUUCAAUUGUGAGAUUGCCUAAUUUAGGGGGAGUUUGAAAUUAUUUAAAAAUAAAAAAAAGGAGAAAAAAAAACUCCUAUAUUUAAAAGAUGUGGAAAGAGUUACAUCCUAAAAGGAGUGUGAAAACUACCACCACAUGUAGGAAN